This 253-nucleotide ribosomal RNA is filed under the name uncultured bacterium. RNAcentral's name for it is "partial 16S ribosomal RNA". It matches the Rfam family "Bacterial small subunit ribosomal RNA", at positions 524 to 776 of the family's 1533-position model. The record is from RNAcentral.
GACGUAGGGCGUGAGCGUUGUCCGGAUUUAUUGGGCGUAAAGAGCUCGUAGGCGGCUUGUUGCGUCAGCUGUGAAAACCCGCAGCUCAACUGUGGGCUUGCAGCUGAUACGGGCAGGCUUGAGUUCGGUAGGGGAGACUGGAAUUCCUGGUGUAGCGGUGAAAUGCGCAGAUAUCAGGAGGAACACCAAUGGCGAAGGCAGCACUCUGGGACGUGACUGACGCUGAGACGCGAAAGCGUGGGGAGCGAACAGG